GACGAACGCUGGCGGCGUGCCUAAUACAUGCAAGUCGACCUUAGUGGCGAACGGGUGAGUAACACGUGGGUAACCUGCCCAUCACAAGGGGAUAACACUUGGAAACAGUUCCUAAUACCGUUUACUGAUGGAUGGACCCGCGGUGCAUUAGCUUGUUGGUGGGGUAACGGCUCACCAAGGCCACGAUGCAUAGCCGACCUGAGAGGGUGAUCGGCCACAUUGGAACGGAGACACGGCCCAAACGCCUACGGGAGGCAGCAGGAGGGAAUCUUCGGAAAUGGACGAAAGUCUGACCGAGAAACGCCGCGUGAGGGAAGAAGGUUUUCGGAUCGUAAAACUCUGUUGUUAGGGAAGCGGUACCGAACCAGAAAGCCACGGCUAACUACGUGCCAGCAGCCGCGGUAAUUC
Molecule: ribosomal RNA, 408 nt
Filed under: uncultured bacterium
Lineage: Bacteria
Description: partial 16S ribosomal RNA
Rfam family: Bacterial small subunit ribosomal RNA
Source: RNAcentral